This 426-nucleotide ribosomal RNA is filed under the name uncultured bacterium. Its description in RNAcentral is "bacterial SSU rRNA". It matches the Rfam family "Bacterial small subunit ribosomal RNA", at positions 356 to 773 of the family's 1533-position model. The record is from RNAcentral.
AGGGAAUCUUCCGCAAUGGACGAAAGUCUGACGGAGCAACGCCGCGUGAGUGAAGAAGGCCUUCGGGUCGUAAAACUCUGUUGCCGGGGAAGAACAAGUGCCGUUCGAACAGGGCGGCGCCUUGACGGUACCCGGCCAGAAAGCCACGGCUAACUACGUGCCAGCAGCCGCGGUAAUACGUAGGUGGCAAGCGUUGUCCGGAAUUAUUGGGCGUAAAGCGCGCGCAGGCGGUUUCUUAAGUCUGAUGUGAAAUCUUGCGGCUCAACCGCAAGCGGUCAUUGGAAACUGGGAGGCUUGAGUGCAGAAGAGGAGAGUGGAAUUCCACGUGUAGCGGUGAAAUGCGUAGAGAUGUGGAGGAACACCAGUGGCGAAGGCGGCUCUCUGGUCUGUAACUGACGCUGAGGCGCGAAAGCGUGGGGAGCAAAC